GACGAACGCUGGCGGCGUGCUUAACACAUGCAAGUCGAACGGAAAGGCCCUGCUUUUGUGGGGUGCUCGAGUGGCGAACGGGUGAGUAACACGUGAGUAACCUGCCCUUGACUUUGGGAUAACUUCAGGAAACUGGGGCUAAUACCGGAUAGGAGCUCCUGCUGCAUGGUGGGGGUUGGAAAGUUUCGGCGGUUGGGGAUGGACUCGCGGCUUAUCAGCUUGUUGGUGGGGUAGUGGCUUACCAAGGCUUUGACGGGUAGCCGGCCUGAGAGGGUAACCGGCCAAAUAGGGACUGAGAUACGGCACAGACUCCUACGGGAGGCAGCAGUGGGGAAUAUUGCACAAUGGGCGGAAGCCUGAUGCAGCAGCGCCGCGUGCGGGAUGACGGCCUUCGGGUUGUAAACCGCUUUCGCCUGUGACGAAGCGUGAGUGACGGUAAUGGGUAAAGAAGCACCGGCUAACUACGUG
RNAcentral lists this ribosomal RNA (468 nucleotides) under uncultured bacterium. Its description in RNAcentral is "partial 16S ribosomal RNA". It matches the Rfam family "Bacterial small subunit ribosomal RNA", at positions 28 to 507 of the family's 1533-position model. The record is from RNAcentral.